Molecule: ribosomal RNA, 2897 nt
Filed under: Pseudomonas syringae
Lineage: Bacteria; Pseudomonadati; Pseudomonadota; Gammaproteobacteria; Pseudomonadales; Pseudomonadaceae
Description: bacterial LSU rRNA
Rfam family: Bacterial large subunit ribosomal RNA
Source: RNAcentral
UAUGGUCAAGUGAAGAAGCGCAUACGGUGGAUGCCUUGGCAGUCAGAGGCGAUGAAAGACGUGGUAGCCUGCGAAAAGCUUCGGGGAGUCGGCAAACAGACUGUGAUCCGGAGAUGUCUGAAUGGGGGAACCCAGCCAUCAUAAGAUGGUUAUCUUACACUGAAUACAUAGGUGUAAGAGGCGAACCAGGGGAACUGAAACAUCUAAGUACCCUGAGGAAAAGAAAUCAACCGAGAUUCCCUUAGUAGUGGCGAGCGAACGGGGACCAGCCCUUAAGUUGUAUUGAGAUUAGCGGAACGCUCUGGAAAGUGCGGCCAUAGUGGGUGAUAGCCCUGUACGCGAAAAUCCCUUUGCAAUGAAAUCGAGUAGGACGGGGCACGAGAAACCUUGUCUGAAUAUGGGGGGACCAUCCUCCAAGGCUAAAUACUACUGACUGACCGAUAGUGAACCAGUACCGUGAGGGAAAGGCGAAAAGAACCGCGGAGAGCGGAGUGAAAUAGAUCCUGAAACCGUAUGCGUACAAGCAGUGGGAGCCCACUUUGUUGGGUGACUGCGUACCUUUUGUAUAAUGGGUCAGCGACUUAUUUUCAGUGGCGAGCUUAACCGAAUAGGGGAGGCGUAGCGAAAGCGAGUCUUAAUAGGGCGUCUAGUCGCUGGGAAUAGACCCGAAACCGGGCGAUCUAUCCAUGGGCAGGUUGAAGGUUGGGUAACACUAACUGGAGGACCGAACCGACUACCGUUGAAAAGUUAGCGGAUGACCUGUGGAUCGGAGUGAAAGGCUAAUCAAGCUCGGAGAUAGCUGGUUCUCCUCGAAAGCUAUUUAGGUAGCGCCUCAUGUAUCACUGUAGGGGGUAGAGCACUGUUUCGGCUAGGGGGUCAUCCCGACUUACCAAACCGAUGCAAACUCCGAAUACCUACAAGUGCCGAGCAUGGGAGACACACGGCGGGUGCUAACGUCCGUCGUGAAAAGGGAAACAACCCAGACCGUCAGCUAAGGUCCCAAAGUCAUGGUUAAGUGGGAAACGAUGUGGGAAGGCUUAGACAGCUAGGAGGUUGGCUUAGAAGCAGCCACCCUUUAAAGAAAGCGUAAUAGCUCACUAGUCGAGUCGGCCUGCGCGGAAGAUGUAACGGGGCUCAAACCAUGCACCGAAGCUACGGGUAUCACCUUUGGUGAUGCGGUAGAGGAGCGUUCUGUAAGCCUGUGAAGGUGAGUUGAGAAGCUUGCUGGAGGUAUCAGAAGUGCGAAUGCUGACAUGAGUAACGACAAUGGGUGUGAAAAACACCCACGCCGAAAGACCAAGGUUUCCUGCGCAACGUUAAUCGACGCAGGGUUAGUCGGUCCCUAAGGCGAGGCUGAAAAGCGUAGUCGAUGGAAAACAGGUUAAUAUUCCUGUACUUCUGGUUAUUGCGAUGGAGGGACGGAGAAGGCUAGGCCAGCCUGGCGUUGGUAGUCCAGGUUUAAGGUGGUAGGCUGAGAUCUUAGGUAAAUCCGGGAUCUUAAGGCCGAGAGCUGAUGACGAGUGUUCUUUUAGAACAUGAAGUGGUUGAUGCCAUGCUUCCAAGAAAAGCUUCUAAGCUUCAGGUAACCAGGAACCGUACCCCAAACCGACACAGGUGGUUGGGUAGAGAAUACCAAGGCGCUUGAGAGAACUCGGGUGAAGGAACUAGGCAAAAUGGCACCGUAACUUCGGGAGAAGGUGCGCCGGUGAGGGUGAAGCAUUUACUGCGUAAGCCCACGCCGGUCGAAGAUACCAGGCCGCUGCGACUGUUUAUUAAAAACACAGCACUCUGCAAACACGAAAGUGGACGUAUAGGGUGUGACGCCUGCCCGGUGCCGGAAGGUUAAUUGAUGGGGUUAGCGCAAGCGAAGCUCUUGAUCGAAGCCCCGGUAAACGGCGGCCGUAACUAUAACGGUCCUAAGGUAGCGAAAUUCCUUGUCGGGUAAGUUCCGACCUGCACGAAUGGCGUAACGAUGGCGGCGCUGUCUCCACCCGAGACUCAGUGAAAUUGAAAUCGCUGUGAAGAUGCAGUGUAUCCGCGGCUAGACGGAAAGACCCCGUGAACCUUUACUAUAGCUUUGCACUGGACUUUGAAUUUGCUUGUGUAGGAUAGGUGGGAGGCUUUGAAGCGUGGACGCCAGUUUGCGUGGAGCCAACCUUGAAAUACCACCCUGGCAACUUUGAGGUUCUAACUCAGGUCCGUUAUCCGGAUCGAGGACAGUGUAUGGUGGGUAGUUUGACUGGGGCGGUCUCCUCCUAAAGAGUAACGGAGGAGUACGAAGGUGCGCUCAGACCGGUCGGAAAUCGGUCGUAGAGUAUAAAGGCAAAAGCGCGCUUGACUGCGAGACAGACACGUCGAGCAGGUACGAAAGUAGGUCUUAGUGAUCCGGUGGUUCUGUAUGGAAGGGCCAUCGCUCAACGGAUAAAAGGUACUCCGGGGAUAACAGGCUGAUACCGCCCAAGAGUUCAUAUCGACGGCGGUGUUUGGCACCUCGAUGUCGGCUCAUCACAUCCUGGGGCUGAAGCCGGUCCCAAGGGUAUGGCUGUUCGCCAUUUAAAGUGGUACGCGAGCUGGGUUUAGAACGUCGUGAGACAGUUCGGUCCCUAUCUGCCGUGGACGUUUGAGAUUUGAGAGGGGCUGCUCCUAGUACGAGAGGACCGGAGUGGACGAACCUCUGGUGUUCCGGUUGUCACGCCAGUGGCAUUGCCGGGUAGCUAUGUUCGGAAAAGAUAACCGCUGAAAGCAUCUAAGCGGGAAACUUGCCUCAAGAUGAGAUCUCACUGGAACCUUGAGUUCCCUGAAGGGCCGUCGAAGACUACGACGUUGAUAGGUUGGGUGUGUAAGCGCUGUGAGGCGUUGAGCUAACCAAUACUAAUUGCCCGUGAGGCUUGACCAUA